UACAGAGGGGGCGAGCGUUGUUCGGAAUUACUGGGCGUAAAGGGCGCGUAGGCGGCCUUCUAAGUCGAACGUGAAAUCCCCGGGCUCAACCCGGGAACUGCGUCCGAUACUGGAAGGCUUGAAUCCGGGAGAGGGAUGAGGAAUUCCAGGUGUAGCGGUGAAAUGCGUAGAUAUCUGGAGGAACACCGGUGGCGAAGGCGGCAUCCUGGACCGGCAUUGACGCUGAGGCGCGAAAGCCAGGGGAGCAAACGGG
Molecule: ribosomal RNA, 253 nt
Filed under: uncultured bacterium
Lineage: Bacteria
Description: partial 16S ribosomal RNA
Rfam family: Bacterial small subunit ribosomal RNA
Source: RNAcentral